UACGGAGGGUGCGAGCGUUGUCCGGAAUCAUUGGGCGUAAAGGGCGCGUAGGUGGCCCGGUCAGUCUUUGGUGAAAGCGCGGGGCUCAACCCUGCGUCGGCCAGGGAUACUGCCGCGGCUGGAGCACUGUAGAGGCAGGCGGAAUUCCGGGUGUAGCGGUGGAAUGCGUAGAGAUCCGGAAGAACACCGGUGGCGAAGGCGGCCUGCUGGGCAGUUUUGCUGACACUGAGGCGCGACAGCGUGGGGAGCAAACAGG
RNAcentral lists this ribosomal RNA (256 nucleotides) under uncultured bacterium. Its description in RNAcentral is "partial 16S ribosomal RNA". It matches the Rfam family "Bacterial small subunit ribosomal RNA", at positions 524 to 776 of the family's 1533-position model. The record is from RNAcentral.